RNAcentral lists this ribosomal RNA (507 nucleotides) under uncultured Glomeromycotina. RNAcentral describes it as "SSU rRNA". It matches the Rfam family "Eukaryotic small subunit ribosomal RNA", at positions 569 to 1078 of the family's 1831-position model. Lineage: Eukaryota; Fungi; Glomeromycota. The record is from RNAcentral.
AGCAGCCGCGGUAAUUCCAGCUCCAAUAGCGUAUAUUAAAGUUGUUGCAGUUAAAAAGCUCGUAGUUGAAUUUCGGGAUCAAUAUAUCGGUCGUGCCUCCGGUAUGCACUGGUAUUAUUGAUCUCUACCUUCUGACGAAUCAUGAUGUCAUUAAUUUGGUGUCAUGGGGAAUCAGGACUGUUACUUUGAAAAAUUAGAGUGUUUAAAGCAGGCACACGCUUGAAUACAUUAGCAUGGAAUAAUGAAAUAGGACGUUUGACCCUAUUUUGUUGGUUUCUAGGAUCGACGUAAUGAUUAAUAGGGAUAGUUGGGGGCAUUAGUAUUCAAUUGUCAGAGGUGAAAUUCUUGGAUUUAUUGAAGACUAACUACUGCGAAAGCAUUUGCCAAGGAUGUUUUCAUUAAUCAAGAACGAAAGUUAGGGGAUCGAAGACGAUCAGAUACCGUCGUAGUCUUAACCAUAAACUAUGCCGACUAGGGAUCGGAUGAUGUUAAUUUUUAAUGUACUCU